RNAcentral lists this unclassified non-coding RNA (328 nucleotides) under soil metagenome. RNAcentral describes it as "partial contains 5.8S ribosomal RNA, internal transcribed spacer 2, and large subunit ribosomal RNA". The stretch from base 1 to 120 matches the Rfam family "5.8S ribosomal RNA", at positions 35 to 154 of the family's 154-position model. The record is from RNAcentral.
GAUGAAGAACGCAGCGAAAUGCGAUAAGUAAUGUGAAUUGCAGAAUUCAGUGAAUCAUCGAAUCUUUGAACGCACAUUGCGCCCCUUGGUAUUCCAAGGGGCAUGCCUGUUCGAGCGUCAUUAUAACCCUCAAGCUCAGCUUGGUGUUGGGGCCUGCUGCACUGGCAGCCCUUAAAAUCAGUGGCGGCGCCAUCUGGCUCUAAGCGUAGUAAUUCUUCUCGCUAUGGAGUCCUGGUGGAUGCUUGCCAUCAACCCCCAAUUUUUCUAUGGUUGACCUCGGAUCAGGUAGGGAUACCCGCUGAACUUAAGCAUAUCAAUAAGCGGAGGA